This 780-nucleotide ribosomal RNA is filed under the name Escherichia coli. Its description in RNAcentral is "partial 23S ribosomal RNA". It matches the Rfam family "Bacterial large subunit ribosomal RNA", at positions 450 to 1230 of the family's 2925-position model. Lineage: Bacteria; Pseudomonadati; Pseudomonadota; Gammaproteobacteria; Enterobacterales; Enterobacteriaceae. The record is from RNAcentral.
GGACCAUCCUCCAAGGCUAAAUACUCCUGACUGACCGAUAGUGAACCAGUACCGUGAGGGAAAGGCGAAAAGAACCCCGGCGAGGGGAGUGAAAAAGAACCUGAAACCGUGUACGUACAAGCAGUGGGAGCACGCUUAGGCGUGUGACUGCGUACCUUUUGUAUAAUGGGUCAGCGACUUAUAUUCUGUAGCAAGGUUAACCGAAUAGGGGAGCCGAAGGGAAACCGAGUCUUAACUGGGCGUUAAGUUGCAGGGUAUAGACCCGAAACCCGGUGAUCUAGCCAUGGGCAGGUUGAAGGUUGGGUAACACUAACUGGAGGACCGAACCGACUAAUGUUGAAAAAUUAGCGGAUGACUUGUGGCUGGGGGUGAAAGGCCAAUCAAACCGGGAGAUAGCUGGUUCUCCCCGAAAGCUAUUUAGGUAGCGCCUCGUGAAUUCAUCUCCGGGGGUAGAGCACUGUUUCGGCAAGGGGGUCAUCCCGACUUACCAACCCGAUGCAAACUGCGAAUACCGGAGAAUGUUAUCACGGGAGACACACGGCGGGUGCUAACGUCCGUCGUGAAGAGGGAAACAACCCAGACCGCCAGCUAAGGUCCCAAAGUCAUGGUUAAGUGGGAAACGAUGUGGGAAGGCCCAGACAGCCAGGAUGUUGGCUUAGAAGCAGCCAUCAUUUAAAGAAAGCGUAAUAGCUCACUGGUCGAGUCGGCCUGCGCGGAAGAUGUAACGGGGCUAAACCAUGCACCGAAGCUGCGGCAGCGACGCUGAUGCGUUGUUGGGUA